Molecule: ribosomal RNA, 484 nt
Filed under: uncultured bacterium
Lineage: Bacteria
Description: partial 16S ribosomal RNA
Rfam family: Bacterial small subunit ribosomal RNA
Source: RNAcentral
GACGAACGCUGGCGGCGUGCUUAACACAUGCAAGUCGAACGAUGAACCCGGAGCUUGCUCCGGCGGAUUAGUAGCGAACGGGUGAGUAACACGUGAGUAACCUGCCCUUGACUCUGGGAUAACUGCUAGAAAUGGUAGCUAAUACCGGAUACGACCCUCGGUGGCAUCACCAGGGGGUGGAAAGAAUUUCGGUCAAGGAUGGACUCGCGGCCUAUCAGCUAGUUGGUGAGGUAACGGCUCACCAAGGCGACGGCGGGUAGCCGGCCUGAGAGGGUGACCGGCCACACUGGGACUGAGACACGGCCCAGACUCCUACGGGAGGCAGCAGUGGGGAAUAUUGCACAAUGGGCGCAAGCCUGAUGCAGCAACGCCGCGUGAGGGAUGACGGCCUUCGGGUUGUAAACCUCUUUUAGUAGGGAAGAAGCGAAAGUGACGGUACCUGCAGAAAAAGCACCGGCUAACUACGUGCCAGCCGCCGCAGUAA